UGUCUGACAUACCUUGGUGACUGUUAACGCUGAUAUAUAUUUAAGGGCUUUUACGAUGGCAAAAAUUUCUGCUGUAAAGAUGGAUACAGCGUGGAAGCGAAAGACCUCAGAGUGACCAUUUUUCGGAUCCAGAAGGGCACAUCCCGCUUUACUUUCUAGCAGUCAAUCAUCAGUAAAGAUAUAGCAUUGAUUCGGAAAGAGUUCUUCGAGAUGAUAUUGGACAUAGAGGCGAGGUGGAAGAACAACUCCAAGAUAUUUCUAUUGACUUAAAAUUUCAGUGCUAAGGAUGUUGCGCAUGGUAUGGAACUUAUUGACGAAGGACAUUCCAUCAGGUAUGCGGCUAUUGCCAUCAAUGUCUCCUACGAAACUCUGCGAAAGGCUGUUAGACGUUUUCGAAAAACUGGGUCCUACCAUAGAAGGUCCGGUUCAGGAGCCCUAAGGUAACAGAACCGCAGGAUGACCUUUUUUUGACUGAGAAUUUUGCAAAAACGGCAACUUGUUGUUCAAUCGAUUCAUCAGCUCCAGGAAGUUCGACGUGUCCAAAUUUCUGAACGCUUUGCUCGAAGAAGUGUGGACUGAUGGUUUUUCGCCCCGUAAGAGGACCAGAAUUGACCAGAAUACACCGAGUUGUACGGCUCGCAUUUG
Molecule: long non-coding RNA, 645 nt
Organism: Cimex lectularius (bed bug)
Lineage: Eukaryota; Metazoa; Arthropoda; Insecta; Hemiptera; Cimicidae
Exons: 3
Source: RefSeq, a predicted model, not a curated record